This 1809-nucleotide long non-coding RNA is filed under the name Brassica napus (rape). Its description in RNAcentral is "long non-coding RNA (BNAP_LNC006566)". The record is from RNAcentral. Lineage: Eukaryota; Viridiplantae; Streptophyta; Magnoliopsida; Brassicales; Brassicaceae.
GCUUACGUUACUGCAUUAUCACGCUGAGAUAACAAACAUUUUUCUCUCCUCUUGAACUCUCUCUAGGCGGCGAUAACAGAAAUUAGGUUUUGCUCCAGUCCGGAUGGCGCAAGGUGGCGCGUACCGGCGACCGGAGGCUCUCCCUUCUCUCUCAACCGCUCAUCUUCUCUUUGCUACAGAGUGGUCCCUCUCACUCUCUCUGCCUUGUCCAUCGCUCUGCUUCUGGAGGCUCCCGACACCGCCUUUACUGCAGGAAAGCUCCGGUCUCAGUGGGAUUCUGCUAGGUGUUGGAGCAUCGACGCGAGAUGGGUGUGGGUUUCUAUCGUUGUAGUCGGCUUUUGGGUUUGGGUGUUGACUAGAUCUGGAUUUUUCCCUUUUUAGAUCUGGUUUCUCCUUGUGGUUUGUAGGCUUGUGAGCUAUUAUUUCCAUGUUCUGGUAUCGUGUGCUUGUCUGAAGCUUCUCUUCGUUAGCGAGUGGAGUCGAGCUCUUCUUGUUUUUCCUCAGCUCGGCGUCUUGUUGUGGAGGCGAGGCUAUCUUCGGCUCAAGAUCGGUGACAGGUCUCCCUCUGUGUCAUCCUGUUGGUGCGUGCACGUAUGAGUUGUUGCUGUGUGGCUGCUAUCUACUCCGUGAGUUAGUGUGUGCGGUUAAAGUUUGGAGGUUAAGCUCUGUCGUCCACGGCUGUAGCUUGUUCUUCUCUGAAAACUGCUCAAUCUUUGUCUGUCCCUCUCACUUCGCUGUUCCCCGGUGCUCUGCUUCUCCUCGAUUCAGAGCCUCUUCACUCCGCUUCUUGGGUUCUCUCGACUCUUUAUCGACGGUAUCUUCCUCGAGGCGCAAAAGAGUAAAGUCGAGGUUCUCUGCACGGUGCAAGGCGCUUGUUUGAAGUUCUGAUGCUCUUUCGUUCCUUCUCUCAAUGUAGCUUGUGUGGAAAAUCAUCAUCCCAGUGCCUCUUUGGCCUCUUGGUCGAUGAGGUAGAUUGCUCUCCCCUCUUUUGCAGGAUAUGAAGAACGAGUCUCAGUGUUGCCUUAUCACCUGCUUAUGUUCUGGCAGUGCUCACGGCCUGUGGAGCUCUGUCCUCCCCUUUGUGAGAUCCUGCUGAUGGUUCUCGUUGGUGGGUACGUGUGAGGAGUUUUCUUCCCUCGGUCUAGUCAACUGAGUGGAGUAUACUUCUGUGGCAAUGUGUGUGGAGAGUUGAGGGUGCAUCCGCUUCUCGUAUGGUCUUUGUCUUGCUUUGGUUGGUGUGGAGCGGUGGCAUCAUGGUCGUUUCUCGUGCCCAAUAUAUGCAUUCGUGUAGUCUAGCCUCCGUGAUGGUGUUUUUGCGGCAGUGGCUUCCCCGGUCUGGAGGUUUGUGUGGGUUAGUUGCUCAUCUUUUAUAGAGGUGAACAUCGGAAAUUGGCCAAAUCUAUCGGGUUCGUGCUCUCGGGCUUAAAGCAACUUUUUUUCAUCCAACAACUGUAAUUGGUGUCUCUUUCUUCCUCUCCCUACAGUCGACGCAAUGCUCUGUGGUGAUGUCUUGCAUGGCUAGGCCUUCUUGCGUUCUUCCUUUUUGUUAUUCGUUGUUGUUGUUUUGUUCUUAGUUUCUUUCGGUGUGUCUUUUCUUAGUUCUUAUGUUGUUCUGUCAAAAUUCAAAAAUGGUAAAUAAAUUUAACAUUUUUACCAAAAAAUAAAUCUUAUAUUUUAUUUUUAAUAUAUUUUUUGAAAUCAUCCUACUAUAUAAAAGAUGCUAAUUUGAGAGCUUCUAAGGGAUGCCACAUGGGCAAAAUAAUCCCCACUUAUCAAAUUGCCAUGUCACUAGCAGACUGGGCUUCGAAU